RNAcentral lists this ribosomal RNA (208 nucleotides) under uncultured bacterium. RNAcentral's name for it is "partial 16S ribosomal RNA". It matches the Rfam family "Bacterial small subunit ribosomal RNA", at positions 524 to 731 of the family's 1533-position model. The record is from RNAcentral.
UACGUAGGGGGCAAGCGUUGUCCGGAUUUAUUGGGCGUAAAGAGCGUGUAGGCGGCCAAGCAGGUCCGCUGUGAAAACUCGAGGCUCAACCUCGAGACGUCGGUGGAAACCGUUUGGCUAGAGUCCGGAAGAGGAGAGUGGAAUUCCCGGUGUAGUGGUGAAAUGCGUAGAGAUCGGGAGGAACACCUGUGGCGAAGGCGGCUCGCUG